Molecule: long non-coding RNA, 453 nt
Organism: Varanus komodoensis (Komodo dragon)
Lineage: Eukaryota; Metazoa; Chordata; Lepidosauria; Squamata; Varanidae
Exons: 3
Source: RefSeq, a predicted model, not a curated record
GCCGGUUAGCUGAGCAGAGUUCGGAAGUGCUACGCCUCCAAACUGGCGCAUGCGCUCUAAAACGGGAUUGGACGGUGCUGAUGGUAGCUGGUCGUAGUAAAUCCUGCUUCCACCUAAUACGUGGCGGGCUUAAGAGAGCCCAAGGUUUUCCUCCAGUCCGUAUCUUCAUAAUAACUCUGCAAGUUAGGCUGAGUCAUUGACUGGCCCAAAGUGAGCGUCACACCUGAGUGGGGACUCCCAGUAUAACACUAAGAUCAGUUGUCAAGUAACAACCACCCAAACUACAUCUCCUUAUGAACAACCACCCAAGGAAGAACAGCAGAUGGUCCAGUUGCUGAAACAAAGAGUUGCUUUCAUUCUUAAUUUUGCUUCUUCCGCUUUUUUCAUUAGGAACUCUCUAAUGGAACAUUUGACCUUUCCAAAGAUGAAAACAUAAAUAAAAUGUUCUUGACA